RNAcentral lists this ribosomal RNA (467 nucleotides) under uncultured bacterium. Its description in RNAcentral is "partial 16S ribosomal RNA". It matches the Rfam family "Bacterial small subunit ribosomal RNA", at positions 29 to 507 of the family's 1533-position model. The record is from RNAcentral.
ACGAACGCUGGCGGCGUGCUUAACACAUGCAAGUCGCACGGAAAGGCCCUGCUUUUGUGGGGUGCUCGAGUGGCGAACGGGUGAGUAACACGUGAGUAACCUGCCCUUGACUUUGGGAUAACUUCAGGAAACUGGGGCUAAUACCGGAUAGGAGCUCCUGCUGCAUGGUGGGGGUUGGAAAGUUUCGGCGGUUGGGGAUGGACUCGCGGCUUAUCAGCUUGUUGGUGGGGUAGUGGCUUACCAAGGCUUUGACGGGUAGCCGGGCUGAGAGGGUGACCGGCCACAUUGGGACUGAGAUACGGCCCAGACUCCUACGGGAGGCAGCAGUGGGGAAUAUUGCACAAUGGGCGGAAGCCUGAUGCAGCAACGCCGCGUGCGGGAUGACGGCCUUCGGGUUGUAAACCGCUUUCGCCUGUGACGAAGCGUGAGUGACGGUAAUGGGUAAAGAAGCACCGGCUAACUACGUG